AACGAACGCUGGCGGCAUGCCUAACACAUGCAAGUCGAACGAGACCUUCGGGUCUAGUGGCGCACGGGUGCGUAACGCGUGGGAACCUGCCCUUAGGUUCGGAAUAACUCCCCGAAAGGGGUGCUAAUACCGGAUAAUGUCUUCGGACCAAAGAUUUAUCGCCUUUGGAUGGGCCCGCGUUGGAUUAGCUAGUUGGUAGGGUAAAAGCCUACCAAGGCGACGAUCCAUAGCUGGUCUGAGAGGAUGAUCAGCCACACUGGGACUGAGACACGGCCCAGACUCCUACGGGAGGCAGCAGUGGGGAAUAUUGGACAACGGGCGAAAGCCUGAUCCAGCAAUGCCGCGUGGGGGAUGAAGGCCUUAGGGUUGUAAAGCGCUUUUACCCGGGAGGAUAAUGACAGUACCGGGAGAAUAAGCUCCGGCUAACUCCGUG
This 433-nucleotide ribosomal RNA is filed under the name uncultured bacterium. Its description in RNAcentral is "partial 16S ribosomal RNA". It matches the Rfam family "Bacterial small subunit ribosomal RNA", at positions 29 to 507 of the family's 1533-position model. The record is from RNAcentral.